CCCAGAGGGGCUGUGGCAAGAGGUGGGUUUGGUUUGCCUGGAGGAGGCAGUCUCUAGGCUGUGCUCCCUGCAGGAAUGUUUGCAGGGCUCCUGGGCUGGCACCAGCAGCUCUCCUGCUCCAUCCCAUGGGAAGCUGCUCUCAGGAAGGAGCUGACCACGGCUGGUUUUGUUAAGGCUUCAGGGUCCUGUUGGGCUCAGCAAGCACAGCAUGAAACCAUUCCCUGAGCAGUCACUGAAGCCUGAAUCAAAAGCAACAAGAAAAGGACCCUUCUCUUAUAGGUUUGCCAGAAAUGAGGCACACACACCUGUCAGGGUGAUGUGGGUGCUGAGGAACUUCACGGAGAGGUCAUCUCGAGUGGGAUUGCAGGAGAAGCAGGGCAUCAGGCCCAGCCUGGGUUAGGGCAGGUCCUGCCUGCCCAGCCUGAUCUCUGGGACCAGCUGACCUGCCCAGGGGCUGAGGCAGAGGGAUGUUGUCUAC
Molecule: long non-coding RNA, 478 nt
Filed under: Serinus canaria (Common canary)
Lineage: Eukaryota; Metazoa; Chordata; Aves; Passeriformes; Fringillidae
Description: lncRNA (ENSSCAG00000008014.1)
Source: RNAcentral